CCCCUAGAUGUUCUGGGCCGCACGCGCGCUACACUGAACAGUUCAACAAGUCUUAACCUUGGCCGAUAGGUCUGGGUAAUCUUUGAACCCUGUUCGUGAUUGGGAUAGACCUUUGCAAUUAUGGGUCUUCAACGAGGAAUUCCUAGUAAACGCAAGUCAUCAGCUUGCAUUGAUUACGUCCCUGCCCUUUGUACACACCGCCCGUCGCACCUACCGAUUGAAUGGUCCGGUGAAAUCUCGGGACGGCGGCUUGGUCGCUUGCGUCCGACUGCUGAAACUUGAUUAAACCAUAUCAUUUAGAGGAAGGUGAAGUCGUAACA
RNAcentral lists this ribosomal RNA (320 nucleotides) under uncultured eukaryote. RNAcentral's name for it is "partial 18S ribosomal RNA". It matches the Rfam family "Eukaryotic small subunit ribosomal RNA", at positions 1470 to 1796 of the family's 1831-position model. The record is from RNAcentral.